This 102-nucleotide non-coding RNA is filed under the name Bacillus sp. (in: firmicutes). RNAcentral's name for it is "Bacillus sp. SAM-I sequence". It matches the Rfam family "SAM riboswitch aptamer (S box leader)". Rfam says of the family: The SAM riboswitch is found upstream of a number of genes which code for proteins involved in methionine or cysteine biosynthesis in Gram-positive bacteria. The record is from RNAcentral. Lineage: Bacteria; Bacillati; Bacillota; Bacilli; Caryophanales; Bacillaceae.
UUCUUAUCCAGAGAGGUGGAGGGACUGGCCCUUUGAUACCUCGGCAGCAGACUUUUAUAAGUACUGUGCCAAUUCCAGUAGCGUAAUGCUAGAAGAUAAGAA